RNAcentral lists this ribosomal RNA (492 nucleotides) under uncultured bacterium. Its description in RNAcentral is "partial 16S ribosomal RNA". It matches the Rfam family "Bacterial small subunit ribosomal RNA", at positions 29 to 507 of the family's 1533-position model. The record is from RNAcentral.
AGUGAACGCUGGCGGUAGGCCUAACACAUGCAAGUCGAACGGCAGCACAGUAAGAGCUUGCUCUUACGGGUAGCGAGUGGCGGACGGGUGAGGAAUACAUCGGAAUCUACUUUUUCGUGGGGGAUAACGUAGGGAAACUUACGCUAAUACCGCAUACGACCUACGGGUGAAAGCAGGGGAUCUUCGGACCUUGCGCGAUUGAAUGAGCCGAUGUCGGAUGAGCUAGUUGGCGGGGUAAAGGCCCACCAAGGCGACGAUCCGUAGCUGGUCUCAGAGGAUGAUCAGCCACACUGGAACUGAGACACGGUCCAGACUCCUACGGGAGGCAGCAGUGGGGAAUAUUGGACAAUGGGCGCAAGCCUGAUCCAGCCAUACCGCGUGGGUGAAGAAGGCCUUCGGGUUGUAAAGCCCUUUUGUUGGGAAAGAAAAGCAGCAGGUUAAUACCCCGCUGUUCUGACGGUACCCAAAGAAUAAGCACCGGCUAACUUCGUG